RNAcentral lists this ribosomal RNA (465 nucleotides) under Vreelandella stevensii. RNAcentral's name for it is "partial 16S ribosomal RNA". It matches the Rfam family "Bacterial small subunit ribosomal RNA", at positions 338 to 795 of the family's 1533-position model. The record is from RNAcentral. Lineage: Bacteria; Pseudomonadati; Pseudomonadota; Gammaproteobacteria; Oceanospirillales; Halomonadaceae.
CCUACGUGUGGCAGCAGUGGGGAAUAUUGGACAAUGGGCGAAAGCCUGAUCUAGCCAUGCCGCGUGUGUGAAGAAGGCCUUCGGGUUGUAAAGCACUUUCAGUGGGGAAGAAAGCCUUGGGGCUAAUACCCUCGAGGAAGGACAUCACCCACAGAAGAAGCACCGGCUAACUCCGUGCCAGCAGCCGCGGUAAUACGGAGGGUGCGAGCGUUAAUCGGAAUUACUGGGCGUAAAGCGCGCGUAGGCGGUCUGAUAAGCCGGUUGUGAAAGCCCCGGGCUCAACCUGGGAACGGCAUCCGGAACUGUCAGGCUAGAGUGCAGGAGAGGAAGGUAGAAUUCCCGGUGUAGCGGUGAAAUGCGUAGAGAUCGGGAGGAAUACCAGUGGCGAAGGCGGCCUUCUGGACUGACACUGACGCUGAGGUGCGAAAGCGUGGGUAGCAAACAGGAUUAGAUACCCCGGUAGUC